CCUACGGGAGGCAGCAGUGGGGAAUAUUGCACAAUGGGGGAAACCCUGAUGCAGCGACGCCGCGUGAGCGAAGAAGUAUCUCGGUAUGUAAAGCUCUAUCAGCAGGGAAGAAAAUGACGGUACCUGACUAAGAAGCCCCGGCUAACUACGUGCCAGCAGCCGCGGUAAUACGUAGGGGGCAAGCGUUAUCCGGAUUUACUGGGUGUAAAGGGAGCGCAGGCGGCGCGGUAAGUCUGAUGUGAAAGCCCGGGGCUCAACCCCGGGACUGCAUUGGAAACUGUCGUGCUGGAGUGUCGGAGGGGCAAGUGGAAUUCCUAGUGUAGCGGUGAAAUGCUUAGAUAUCACGAAGAACCCCGAUUGCGAAGGCAGCCUGCCGCAGCGUUACUGACGCUGAAGCUCGAAAGCGCGGGUAUCGAACAGGAUUAGAUACCCCAGUAGUC
RNAcentral lists this ribosomal RNA (440 nucleotides) under uncultured bacterium. RNAcentral's name for it is "partial 16S ribosomal RNA". It matches the Rfam family "Bacterial small subunit ribosomal RNA", at positions 338 to 795 of the family's 1533-position model. The record is from RNAcentral.